This 355-nucleotide transfer-messenger RNA is filed under the name Acutalibacteraceae. Its description in RNAcentral is "Fimenecus sp900766945 Standard tmRNA". It matches the Rfam family "transfer-messenger RNA". Rfam says of the family: Bacterial tmRNA, also known as 10Sa RNA or SsrA, is named for its dual tRNA and mRNA-like properties. Its role is to liberate the mRNA from a stalled ribosome. Lineage: Bacteria; Bacillati; Bacillota; Clostridia; Eubacteriales. RNAcentral also lists the same sequence under 1 other name. The record is from RNAcentral.
GGGGAUGAAAGGAUUUCGACGGGGAUAUUGCACCGUGAUAAGCGAGCAGCGGUGGGGUACCGCUUAAAACAGCCUCAGUUUAUGAAAAUAAACGACAAAGAUUCAAAAGUACUUCUCGCUGCUUAAUUUGCAGUGAGCAUGCCCCCGAGAGGACCGCGGCUCGGUACGGCGUGUCAUUGAGCGGUAAAUGUGCACAGGUGAGCGCCCUGUAACCUGUCACACACCAAAGGGCUACCGCGUCUUAAAGCCUGCCGCCCGGCGUUUUGACAAGGGAAUAAAAAAAGAACGGCUACGCUCGUAGAAAGUUGCGGGAAUGUGUUUUCGGACGCGGUUUCGAUUACCGCCAUCUCCACCA